This 237-nucleotide ribosomal RNA is filed under the name uncultured bacterium. RNAcentral's name for it is "partial 16S ribosomal RNA". It matches the Rfam family "Bacterial small subunit ribosomal RNA", at positions 524 to 760 of the family's 1533-position model. The record is from RNAcentral.
UACAGAGGUCUCAAGCGUUGUUCGGAUUCAUUGGGCGUAAGGGUGCGUAGGUGGCGCCGUAAGUCGGGUGUGAAAUUUCGGAGCUUUAACUCCGAAACUGCAUUCGAUACUGCGGUGCUUGAGGACUGGAGAGGAGACUGGAAUUCAUGGUGUAGCAGUGAAAUGCGUAGAGAUCAUGAGGAAGACCAGUGGCGAAGGCGGGGUCUCUGGACAGUUCCUGACACUGAGCACGAAGGC